Molecule: long non-coding RNA, 729 nt
Organism: Lucilia cuprina (Australian sheep blowfly)
Lineage: Eukaryota; Metazoa; Arthropoda; Insecta; Diptera; Calliphoridae
Exons: 4
Source: RefSeq, a predicted model, not a curated record
GUUUCUAAUGCCAAAAUAAAAUAUUUUUUCUAAAUGAAAUUAUUUUAUUUGACAAAUUAAAUUUUCUUCAAAAACUUUUUAAAAGAAAACUUGCACAUGUAUAGCAUGCGCAUAUUCUGCAUGGGAUUAAACGAUACAUACAUAUAGAUUUCUGAUCAUCAUUGAUUUGGAAUCAAGACUGAGCUUUGAAAUAAAAGGUGGCGUGUCAUAAUAUCCAAUGUUAUAAUGUCCAUAGACGUUAUGACGCACUAAAUUGAGUCGUAAUGUCCAUGGACGUUAUGACAAUUUCAAAAGUGUUACAAUGUCCAUGAGCAAUGGGACAUAAAGUCCAUGGAUUUCAAAGAGUCCAUUUAUCAAAAAAGGCUUAAUUAAGCGAAGCCGGUGUUCGAAAUACCCCAGAGUUUGAAACCCCUGCGCCCAGCCGAAGGCCUGCUAUCCAGAACACUUUUUAAUAGGAGUCCAAAAUGUAACAAUUACCAAAUUUAGGAGCAAUUCUUUUCGGGGUACAACAUAGUGAAAGUCCUGCAAUACCGUAAAGAGUACGAAAAAGACAUCCAUCUCAAUAUUUAUCCGUAAGAUUCCGUCUACGUAUGAAGAAAACAUUCAUUCCGGUAUUUAAGAUUCCGUCUAGGCAUGAGGUUCGACAUCAAAUAAGGGAUCGUGUAAUAUAUUUAAGUAUAAAUAAAAUAAUAUUUUGCAAAAAUUGUAAUAAAAGAAUAUAAAAUAAAU